RNAcentral lists this long non-coding RNA (487 nucleotides) under Manihot esculenta (cassava). RNAcentral's name for it is "long non-coding RNA (MESC_LNC010000)". Lineage: Eukaryota; Viridiplantae; Streptophyta; Magnoliopsida; Malpighiales; Euphorbiaceae. The record is from RNAcentral.
UCUGCAGCAGCUCUUGCACGUCUUGCAUGUCUUGCAUGUCGCGCACUCAUUGAGCGCCCCACAGCGUCCUGCGCCCAUAGGUGUUCCGCAGGUCUGUCGCCGCAGUGCUCUGCGCCAUCUAUACAUCCCAUAGCUCAUACGUGCCUCAUAGUUUUUGCGCAUCCCGCAAGCCCAGUUAGCUAAUGAGACCUUCAUAGUAGGCCUAUCACUCCCAGCCAACUGCCACCAAACCCACUGCUGGCAGAAUUGCCCCCUUGGCAAUAUUGGCCAAUCCAAUAGCCUCUUUGCUACUUUUUCCUAAUUAUUUGUCCGUCCCUUUCAUUACUUAGACAUUUAUAUCCCUUGGGUCAUUUGGCAAUUCCCAUAGGCCUAUGACCAUCACCUUCUGAGGAGAACUUGGGUGUAUCAUCUUCGGUACGUAACAUCCUCCCCCACCCAUUUUGGCGACGUCCUCAUCACUCAUGUCCCUUGCUUUCUUCCUGCCCAU